AAAGGACCACCAGCCGUCCUACCGAAGUUUGUUCCUCCAUGGUACUGCAGUUGACGUAAACAAGCAAAUUGGUUUACUUCAACAUGAUGUACAGCAAUCAGUAAUUAAUGAAACAACUGAGGUAGAACAUACAAUUUCUUACCAUAUAGUAGUUAACGAAGGAUCCACCCUUCUGUAUAAACCUUGCGACAGCAAAAGCCAAGUCCUGAACAGGCCUGUGAGGAACUGGACCCCCGAAACCAGUGAACCUAUUAACAUAGAAUACAUGGAAUAAAUUCACUAGAUCGAUUGAUUUCUUGUGAAAAUUUAUAUGAAUUCAAAUGUGAAGAAGUAGAGGUUACCAGCCAGUCCAAGCUUCAGUCCACAUAGUCGGUUUAUAAGGCUUGUUUGGUGAGAAGUAAUCACAGUAGAACCCAUUGCAGGCAUUGAUCUGUAAAGACAAAAUCCAAAAAUGAGGUCACAAUAAGUCAACCUAGCUGGUGCAACAUGCAAUUACAAAUCCUCUAAUUAGUGCAGCUGUAAUCUAAGUAGAAGAAAGUGAUGUUGAACGGGACAAGGUGGAGAAGGAACAUGAACUUGGGGUUCUUCCUGAUGUUCCAGAACAAGAAAACCGAAAGCUUGGACUUACCACUGGAUCAGGUGCAUCAUCUUGCUUGCACAUGACCCACGGCACACCGGUGUUGAGGCCCACUGCCAUUUGAGCAGCCCAGGUUACGUAGUUCUUGGCUGCAGCUCCGCCAAAUUUCUCCAUUGGACCAUAUUCAUUUUCAAUCUGCUCAAGUUAGACAAAGAGCAUGGAAGAGCAGAAAGCGAAUUAGAUGAGAUCUUUGGGAGCUGAUCAACUCGAUGACACAUAAAAGCUAACGAAUUGAUGAAAGCAAAGAAGGAAAGGAUUCGAUGAUACCUGAGAGAGGAUAAUGGGACCACCCUGUGAUUCGAAUAAUCGUUCAGACUUCAUCAUGGCGACAAUCUUCUCUGUGAACUUCGCCAUGGCCGCCUUUUACAUGAACAGACCAGUUAGCAAUUGCUCGGAUAGAGGAGUUCGAGUAUACACAUGUAAAGAGAAUUUCUUGUGGAUUCUUACCUUGAAAGGUUCAUUGUCGGUCCUGAAAUUGAUGCCAGGAACAUAUUUUAGCCAGACAGGAAAUCCCCUGUUUUACAAAGACAAGAUGAACAACAGAACAACGUCAUCAGAUUGCAUGAUUAGGCUUUUGAUUCCACAUAGAAGAAUUAAUCGAAGACCUCGUACCCAAAGUUCCAUUCGGCACAAACAUAAGGACCAAUCCGGAGAUGAACAUAGAGGCCGGCAUGCUUCACCAGCUUGAUGAAGCGAACCAGGUCGUAAUUACCACCAAAAUAAUACUGCCAAAGAUCAAGAAAAGCAACAAAUUGAGGCACACUGUGGGAUGGAGCAGUAGCGUUAGACGAGAGGGCUGGGAAUGUUUGGGUGAUCUCCGAACCUGGCCAGGGGACGGCUCGUGGCCGUUCCAGAACACGUAGGUCUGGAUAACAUCCAAGCCGCCAUCUUUAGCCUUCUGGAUAAGAUCCGGCCACAUCUGAAGACGAUCCAAUCGACAAAGUUCAGAUUUUGGCGCGGUAGAGUAACAGUGCACGAAUAGCUCACCAGAAAGGCAACAUUUUCCAGAGUUGGAAAUCUUACCUCCGGGGUGCUCCUGGGAUAGUGAAUGGAACCGGAGAUUAGAAUCCUCCUCUGCCCAUUGACGAUGAUAGCCUUGUGGUCGUAGGAAACGGAUGCAUCGACCGGAGUGGAAAGCCACAGAGACGACACCACCACCAACGCCACCGCCAGUAGCAGCAGCGUCGACAGUCCGAGGCUGCACCCAAGCGUCAUAAGCUCGAGGCUCAUGGUGGCCGGUCGGUCUUCGCUUCAGAGGAGUCUCCUUUCGUGUUCUGGCUGUAUAAUAUGUGAAUGAUGGAGAUUCGUGCGCGCUGUUCUUCCGUCUUUUCCUCCGCUAGAGAAGUUCUGAAGGAACUAUUGAGCAGUAGCGUUACCGUAACAAGCACACACCGAGGAAGAGAGAGGGAGAUCAAAGAGGCGGGAUGGAAGAGGACGGAUGCGGCGCGGGAGCCGUGGGUGCCUCUGCGGUUUAAAUACCGCAGGGGCGAAGACGAGCACAGGAUUGGCGCCGGAGUACGCGGGUCCCACAGCGCCAGCCAGUCAACGUUUUCUUCCGUUCCCCGUGAACAGCAGCAGCCAAAAAAUAGAAAAAGAAAACGUUGUUCGUUUGAUCAUUCCUUUGUGAUCAAUUAUGAUUCCAAUUCCUUUGGGCAGUUAAGAGAAACUUCGAUGGUUGGCAAUGGUUGGAAGAGUAAAAUCUAUUGUUAAAAAUUACUAUUUAAAGAAAAUUAGGAUAGGCAGGUUAUGUUGAACAUUAUUAGAAACUAACAAUGCUAAUUUUGUAAGAAAGCUUAUUGUAAUGAUAUUUUUUGUAUUGUCUAGUAUAUCAAUAUACAGACUUAACUUAGCUCAGGAUCAAUUUCUUUUCCAGGUUGAUAUUAGGGUAGUAAGCGGGUUUAUUAAUAUAUCUAUAAUAUAAUUUUAUUAUAAAAUUAAGAAUUACUCUGGAUAUAAUCUUUUUAUAUGGGUUACGAGCUCGGUCUCAGUAUCUUAUUUUUAGUUUGAAUAAAGAUUUAAAACGAGAGAAUUAUAAGUGUAUUAUCGAAUCUUUUCUUAUCUUGGAAAGUUUCAUUGGAAAUUUUUUUCCCCGUAGACAUAGGAAUUAUAUUCUUAAUAAUAUUAUAUUAUUGAAAUUUUGGGCUUAAAUUAAUUGAUCCUGUAUAAAAGAAAAGUCUCAAAGGGUGGUCACUUAAGAUCCAUCAAAAUGCUUAUAAGCUUAAACAGUGCAAAAGCAAAAGCUUAGCUCUUGCAAUUACGAGACCAACCAUUCUGUGUAAACAUGCUAUCCCAAUUGCUAAUAUUAUGUCCACACAUGGAAUCGAUAUAUGCAAAGUCCCACGUGCAGUAAGUAAUAUGUUGAGUGCAUCCAAUAUUUUCAAUGCACAUUUACUCACGUAACCAGGCAAUACCUUAAAGUAAGUGGGUGUGCAGUUCCUGCAUCUCCACCAAUCACUACUCCACGACUUUGGUUUGUAUAAAUUGACUUUAGUUCAUUUUCUUUACUUGGUCUACCAUCUGUGGUUAUCAUCUGCCGAUGGUUUUGACAGCAAGCUUCUUCAUAGUGCUACUCUUUUCACCAAAGAAAUCCCAGUUGGAUCACCACCCCACUCUUCAAACACAACCAACAAGUUUCCAGUUGGGUUCAGCCAAGCGCGAGGAACAUGAUACCUGAGAUUUGUGGUCAGUAAUCAGUCAUUUAUUCGAUUCUUUUGCAUGCUUUGACUGAAGUGGACAAAAAGGCAGGUGUUUCAUUACCAUUUUUGAGAAGGCUCCCCACAAUUAGUCUGGCAUUUCUUCUCGUUGUAUGUCCCUCUGUAAUCGCACCAAUCACAAGAACCAUAUGCCUUAUAGGCAGGCCAAUAUCUGCCAAUGCUUUGUCCAUUGAUCCAUAUCUGACCUUUGCCCAUGCUACUCAUGUCUAAUGCCAAUGGCUCGUUCCCAGCUGGAGCAUUAAAGAAAGCCUGGAAGAUGACAAAGAUUGAGUGAGAAAAUAGUCUCAAGCAUGAGAGGAAAGAAGAUGAACUUUAGGAUAACAUGUUUCUGUGUUGCAAGCGGUUCUGACCUUGUACCAAGUCAAGGGCUGCCUUGUAGAUGCACCCCCCCACUUAACUGAAGAACUGCCACUAAGUGUAUAGAUGCUCAGGGAUUCACCUCUAAGGCCGAUCUACACACACAAACAUGGAACUCAGUAACCAGUAAGCAAGUUUUAGUCAGAGAGUCAGCAGGUAGGAAGAGUUGAUUGGAACCUGGUAAAUCCAUUUCUGUGAUGAAAGGUCUCUCUUUCCUUCAUUGAGACCGUCCAGGGUCACUGGACCAAGAACACCAGCAUUCCAUGUCUCAAAGUGGUUGCCAAUAUUCUGAAACAGAUAAAGAACAGGAAUACGGAGUCUAAACAUCCAUCUUGUGUGUGUAUAAUUGUAUAGGGUUAUUGGUAUGAUAUUUCAACUUUUGGAUCAAUGGCCAGGAAAUAUUUCGCAACAAAGAAUGUACUCACAGGAAGACCAACAGCGACACUUAGAAUCGAGAUUUUGUUGCUUCCUGCCCACAACUUCACAUUUCCUGUGAAUCUUAUCUUUGGAUUGUCCAAACUACCAUAGACAGUCCCUGCCAGAAGAAAAGAUAAGCAAAAAACAAAUCGGAACCUCACCAAACGUCGAGCAUAUCAUCAAGAAACAAUUCUUCACAAGGCAAAGCCACUCACCGGCCAGUUCUCCAUUGAUGAAAACAUGCAUAGAAUGACCUGCCGACAUCACAGUUAGGAAAGGGUAUCGACCAUUCUUCAAGAAUUGCUCAUUUGAGUCUAUGUUAACACUGAAGAGUGGAGAUCGUGAGUCAUUGAGUGAUAGAGGUCAUUGAUUCUGUCUCAAAUAGAGAAGCUGCAAAGGAACGUCUACUCACUAUGUAGUGUACCACAGGUAGUCUGUCCGAUCCCAUGUCAUGCUUAUCUGCUCCACCAAUCCAUCUUUUGAGAAUGAUUUAUCCCUCAGUGAGUGGGUAUCCUCACUGAAGGACUCCCAAGAAAAUCCGCCAACCCAAGUCAUAUUAAUCUGCGACGUCGGAGCUCCUACCUGUGUUUAUCAUUAGCAUCUUUGUGUUUAAGACAGUCAUGAAAAUUCAACCAUGGAAGUCCUAUUCCAUCCAAGAAAAUUUGGAAUACAUAGCGAGAGAUACAUUUUCCUGAGCCAAGAAACAAACAACUCAACGGAGAGGUGAGUUUUAUGAGUAUAGGAAUAGAAUGCAACCGUGACCAUUAAUCAUCAAAGAUUUCUCACCUUUGCAGUGUUGAACACUGCGGUUUUGCAGUCUGGAAGAAUGCUGACGGACCAAGCUGGAAUAUGAUACUUCAUUCCGUUGAAAGUAACAGGUGCAUAAGAACGGGAGUUGAAAUUAGAAAGGAAUGCAGCACAAGCGCCUGACUUCGAUCUGUAUACAUGCGCCUGCAAGAAGUCGAACGUAGAAAAGUUCCAAAAUGCCAAAUCAUCGAAAAUAUUCUUGCAAAUUUUACAGCAAGAUAUAAGAAUUGAACCUCCUGAUAUUUUCCGAGAUUUGUCACUGUGGGAUCCCCAGAGACGAGAGCUGGUUCACACGAUUUGAUUGCUUUAUGCAGGUCUGUCAGAUGUCCCCAUUUCGGUUGCCUUAACAGACCUGAGAAAGAUUACAAUAUGUUUAUCACCAGAUAGAGGGAAUGGUAAUAGUCGGCAUCAAAUAGAUUUGUAUUGCAUCAUCAGAUGCUUGACCAAUGAGACUGCACAGUGUCUUCUUCGUAGAAGAGGAACAAGAUUUUAGCACCAAAAAGAAGACAUAGGAAAAGCAUAAGCAAACUGAGUGGGAACUGUAUUACCUCUAAUCUUCUCUUAAUCUUGAAAGAACCCAAGUAUUUGACCUAAAUAAUUCUUUGUGUGUGGUAGAUGAUCAAGCCAACCAUUCAUGCCCUUUUCCCCCACCCACGGACAAACUUCUAAACAAGAUGUUUGAUAUAAUGUUUAUGUAUGUUUGUAUCUUUUGACAUGUUCGCACAACAUAUAGAGGGACGAUCGAAUACUUAAUUACCCCAUUUCAGUUAGGUUUGGUGGUCGCUUUUGGCUUAUAAAUAAAAAUUAUAUUAUGUGGACACUUGCGAGAGAUAUUCGAUCUGUAUUGGACCAUUUUGACCCUUUGUUGUGCAACCAUUCAGAACUUGUAAAGUCAUGUUGAUAAUUUGCAUUGGUUAUGAGGUGUUUUUUGGAAUGUUUGUUUAUGGAUUCCGAGUGAGGCAUUUUCUCUAACUCGUUUUCUCUUUUGUAGGUCCUAAGAGACCAUGGGAGGUUUCGGAAAGACUGACCUUUACGGACGGACACACAAGGGUAUUGCACAACUUUGGCAAAGCCAACUAACCUCAUUUUAGUUAGGUUUGGUGGCCGUUUUAGGCUUAUAAAUAAAAAUUGUAUUAUGUGGACACUUGCGAGAGAUAUUCGGUCUGUAUUGGAUCAUUUUGACUCUUUGUUGUGCAACCGUUCAAAACUUGUAAAGUCUGUUGAUAAUUUGCAUUGGCUAUGAGGUGUUUUUUGGAAUGUUUGCUGAUGGAUUCUGAGUGAGGCGUUUUCUCUAACCCAUUUUCUCUUUUGUAGGUCUUAAGAGACCAUGAGAGGUUUUGGAGAGGCUGACUUUUGCGAACGGAUAUGCAAGAGUACCGCACGACUUAAACAAAACCAACUAAAUCCAUCAUCAAAAGCAUGACCUCCAACGGGGCGAAUUCAUAAGAAGUCACAAGUUAGACCAAAACCAUAUCAUUACAACGUGAAAAUUAUUACAAAUGUUAGAAAAAUGGCAUACCGUAUUCAUCGAUUGGGGCAUCAUAGUCAUAGCUGGUCGCAAUAAAAGGACCACCAGCCGUCCUACCGAAGUUGGUUCCUCCAUGGUACUGCAGUUGACGUAAACAUGCAAAUUCGUUUACUUCAACAUGAUGGACAGCAAUCAGUAAUUACUGAAACAACUGAGGUAGAACAUACAAUUUCUUACCAUAUAGUAGUUAACGAAGGAACCACCUUUCGCUAUAAACCUUGCGACAGCAAAAGCCAUGUCCUGAACAGGCCGGUGAGGAACUGGACCCCCGAAACCAGUGAACCUAUUAACAUAGAAUACAUAGAAUAAAUUCACUGGAUAGAUUAAUUUCUUGUGAAAAUUUAUAUGAAUUCAAAUGUGAAGAAGUAGCGGUUACCAGCCAGUCCAAGCUUCAGUCCACAUGGUCGGUUUAUAAGGCUUGUUUGGUGAGAAGUAAUCGCAGUAGAACCCAUUGCAGGCAUUGAUCUUUAAAGACAAAAGCCCAAAAAAAGAGAUCACAAUAAGUCACCCAAGCUGGUCUAACAUGCAACUACAAACCCUCUAAUUAGGGCAGCUGGAAUUUAAGUAGAUAAAAGUCAUGUUGGACUUGACAAGGUAGAGAAGGAACAUGAACUUGGGGUUCUUCCUGAUGUGGUAGAACAAGAAAACCGAAAGCUUGGACUUACCACUGGAUCAGGUGCAUCAUCUUGCUUGCACAUGACCCACGGCACACCGGUGUUGAGACCCACUGCCAUUUGAGCAGCCCAGCUUAGGUAGUUCUUGGCUGCAGCGCCGUCAUAGUACUCCUGUAUACUAUAUUCGUUUUCAAUCUGCUCAAGUUAGACAAAGAGCAUGGAAGAACAGAAAGCGAAUUAGAUGAGAUCUUUGGGAGCUGAUCAACUCGAUGACACAUAAAAGCUAACGAAUUGAUGAAAGCAAAGAAGGAAUGGAUUCGAUGAUACCUGAGAGAGGAUAAUGGGACCACCCUGUGAUUCAAAUAAUCCUUCAGACUUCAUCAUGGCGACAAUCUUCUCUGUGAACUUCGCCAUGGCCGCCUUUUACAUGAAUAGACCAAUUAGCAAUUGCUCGGUUAGAGGAGAUCGAGUAUAAACAUGUAAAGAGAAGUUCCUGUGGAUUCUUACCUUGAAAGGUCCAUUGUCGCUCCUGAAAGUGAUGCCAGGAACAUAUUUUAACCAGACAGGAAAUCCCCUGUUUUACAAAGACAAGAUGAACAACAGAACAGCAUCAUCAGAUUGCAUGAUUAGGCUUUUGAUUCCACAUAGAAGAAUUAAUUGAAGACCUCGACCUCGUACCCAAAGUUCCAUUCGGCACAAACAUAAGGACCAAUCCGGAGAUGAACAUAGAGGCCGGCCUGCUUCACCAGCUUGAUGAAGCGAACCAGGUCGUAAUUACCACCAAAAUAAUACUGCCAAAGAUCAAGAAAAGCAACAAAUUGAGGCACACUAUGGGAAGGAGCAGUAGCCUUAGACGAGAGGGCUGGGAAAGGUUGGGUGAUCUCCGAACCUGGCCAGGGGACGGCUCGUGGCCGUUCCAGAACACAUAGGUCUGGAUAACAUCCAAGCCGCCAUCUUUAGCCUUCUGGAUGAGAUCCGGCCACAUCUGGAGACGAUCCAAUCGACAAAGUUCAGGUUUUGACGCGGUAGAAUAACAGUGCACGAACAGCUCACCAAAAAGGCCACAUUUCCCACAGAAUUGGAGACCUUACCUCCGGGGUGCUCCUGGGAUAGUGAAUGGAACCGGAGAUUAGAAUCCUCCUCUGCCCAUUGACGAUGAUAGCCUUGUGGUCGUAGGAAACGGAGGCAUCGACCGGAGAGGAAUGCCACGGAGACGACACCACCACCAACGCCACCGCCAGUAGCAGCAGCGUCGACAGUCCGCGGCCGCACCCAAGCGUUAUAAGCUCGAGGCUCAUGGUGGCCGGUCGGUCUUACCUUCAGAGGAGUCUCCUUUAGUGUUCUGGAUGUAUAAUAUGUGAAUGAUGGAGAUUCGUGCGCGCUGUUCUUCCGUCUUCUCCUCCGCUAGAGAAGUUCCGACGGAACUAUUGAGCAGUAGCGUUACUGCAACAAGCACACACCGAGGAAGAGAGAGGGAGAUCAAAGAGGAGGGAGGGAAGAGGGCGGACGUGGAGUGGGAGCGCGGGGGCGGGGAGGACGGGGGAGGGCGAUGUGCCUCUUGCGGUAUAAAUACCCGACGGGCGCAAGCGAGCACAGGAUUGGCGCUGGAAUACGCGGGUCCCAAAGCGCCAGCCACGUCAACGUUUUCUUCCAUUCCCCCUGAACAGGAAAAAAUCAAAUGGACCGAAGCGUGGGGCCAUCUGCUUGUAAGAAAGUGGACCAAUUAAGAUAAAGCUUUGAUAGUUGGCAAGGAUCGACAGAGUCAAAAUAUUUUGUUAAAAUUAUUAUUUGAGAAAAUUAGGACAGAUAGGUUAUGUGGAAUAAUAUUAGAAACUAAUAAUAUUAGUUUAGUUUUGUAAGAAAAUUUUAUGUUGAUGAUAUUUUUUAGUUGUCUAAUAUAUCGAUAUACAUUAUGAUAGUAAGCGAGUUAGAUAACAUAUCCAUAACCAUGAUAUAAAUAUUUUUUUAUAAAAUUACAUAUACAUGAUAUACCUAAAGGGUUUGAUGAGAUAUAUCAUAUUAUUAUUUUAUUAUGUGAAUAACAAUUUUUUUAUAUGUUAAUUUAGUUUCACAUAAGAAAUGUAUAAAGAUUUAGAUAAGAGUAUGAUAAUUGUACCAUUCUUAUCGUGAGUUUAGAGGGAUUUAACUCAAAGUAUCUCUCUCAGACGAAGAUUAUAUAUGUGGCAGAUAAGGCUAAGCCAGAUAGGAGAGAAAGGUAUGUUUUUAAAUAAAUAAAGCUUUUUAAGCAAUGGAAUAUUGUCAAAAUUAAAAUAAUAUGAAUACUAUAUUUUUGAAAAGCAAAUAAAGUUUCUUGAGUUGUAAUGAUAUCCAUUUUAAGCAAAUAUAAUUGCUGCAUUAUAUUUUUAAUGUCGAUGCCAAUAUUUAUAGUCACUGAUUAAAACAUGCCACAUAUAAUAUUUUCUUUCAAUACCAGAAAGAUAUUUAUAGUAUGAAUGAAAGGAUAAAUUUAGCUGAAUAUGGAACAUGAUGAACCAUAUCAUAACCAAUCCUCAAUUGAACUAAAACUUAAUCCUUACAGAAAUAGUUUGUAAUCAUCCUAAACUGGUCUAAAUAGAUUUCUAUUUUAGAUUAAACUGGCCUAGACAGUGCCUGACCCAGUCUGAUCCUUGAUAAGUGGUCAAGCCAAGCUACUGAAAUGUUGACCUCUGUGUUUGUAACUCAUGAUGAAAUUCUAAGUGACAUUAACAGUUUCUUCUUUAUAGUUGAUAAAUCAUUGUCAUCUCUUUCUAAAAAUAAAAAUAAAAAAAGCUGGGAAUAAAAAUAUCUAUAACAAUGCCUUUUUCCUGGCACCAGAUUGUAUCUUUACCACUAAUUUCUUGUUUCUUGCACUGUUGCACAUGAUCAUCAUGCAUCUUGUUAGACAUCUCAAGUGGUUGCCACAUAGUUCAGAGCUCAGAAGCACAGCCACACAAUUGCAUCAGGAAUCAAAAUGCUUAUAAGCUUUGCAGAAGCAAUGGAAAAGGCAAAGGAUGAUAACUUAAUAUGGAUCAAAAUGCUUAUAAGCUUAAGUAGUACAGAAGCAAAAGCUUAGCUCUUGCAAUUACAAGACCGACCAACCAUUUUGUGUAAACAUGCUAUCCCAAUUGCUAAUAUUAUGUCCACACAUGGACUCAAUAUAUGCAGAAUCCCACGUGCAGUAAGUAAUAUGUUGAGUGCAUCCAAUAUUUUCUAUGCACAUUUACUCACGUAACCAGGCAAUACCUUAAAGUGGGUGUGCAGUUCCUGCAUCUCCACCAAUCACUACUCCACGACUUUGGUUUGUAUAAAUUGACUUUAGUUCAUUUUCUUUACUUGGUCUACCAUCUGUGGUUAUCAUCUGCAGAUGGUUUUGACAGCAAGCUUCUUCAUAGUGCUACUCUUUUCACCAUUGAAAUCCCAGUUGGAUCACCACCCCACUCUUCAAACACAACCAACAAGUUUCCAGUUGGGUUCAGCCAAGCGCGAGGAACAUGAUACCUGAGAUUUGAGGUCAGUAAUCAGUCAUUUAUUCGAUUUUUUCGCAAGCUUAAUGGGGUGGAAAAAAAGGCAGGUGUUUCAUUACCAUUUUUGAGAAGGCUCCCCACAAUUAGUCUGGCAUUUCUUCUCGUUGUAUGUCCCUCUGUAAUCGCACCAAUCACAAGAACCAUAUGCCUUAUAGGCAGGCCAGUAUCUGCCAAUGCUUUGUCCAUUGAUCCAUAUCUGACCUUUGCCCAUGCUACUCAUGUCUAAUGCCAAUGGCUCAUUCCCAGCUGGAGCAUUAAAGAAAGCCUGGAAGAUGAUAAAGAUUAAGUGACACAAUAGUCUCAAACAUGAGAGGAAGGAAGAUGAACUUUAGGAUAACAUGUUUCUGUGUUGCAAGCAGUACUGACCUUGUACCAAGUCAAGGGCUGCUUUGUUGAUGCACCUCCCCACUCAACUGAAGAACUGCCACUAAGUGUAUGGAUGCUCAGGGAUUCACCUCUCAGGCCGAUCUACACACACAAACAUGGAACUCAGUAACCAGUAAGCAAGUUUUAGUCAGAGACUAAUGUAGGUAGGAAGAGUUGAUUGGAACCUGGUAAAUCCAUUUCUGUGAUGAAAGGUCUCUCUUUCCUUCAUUGAGACCUUCCAGAGUCACUGGACCAAGAACACCAGCAUUCCAUGUCUCAAAGUGGUUGCCAACAUUCUGAAACAGAUCAGAGAACAGAAAUCUGAUGUCUCAACAGCCAUCUUGUGUGUAUAAUUGUACAGGGUUAUUUGUAUGAUAUUUCAACUUUUCGAUCAAUGGCCAGGAAAUAUUUCACAACAAAUUAUGUACUCACAGGAAGACCAACAGCGACACUUAGAAUCGAGAUUUUGUUGCUUCCUGCCCACAACUUCACAUUUUCUCUGAAAGUCAGCUUUGGAUUGUCCAAACUACCAGAGACAGUCCCUGCCAGAAGAAAAGAAAGCAAAAGCCAAAUCGGAACCUCACCAAAUGUUGAGCAUAUCAUCAAGAAUCAAUUCUCCACAAGGCAAAGCCACUCACCAGCCCGUUCUCCAUUGAUGAAAACAUGCAUAGAAUGGCCUGCCGACAUCACAGUCAGGAAAGGGUAUCGGCCAUUCUUCAAGAAUUGUUCAUUUGAGUCUAUGUUAACACUGAAGAGUGGAGAUUGUGAGUCAUUGAGUGAUAGAUGUCAUUGAUUCUGUCUCAAAUAGACAAGCUGCAAAGGAACGUCUACUCACUAUGAAGUGUACCACAGGUAGUCUGUCCGAUCCCUUGUCAUGCUUAUCUGCUCCACCAAUCCAUCUUUUGUGAAUGAGUUAUCCCCCAGUGAGUUGGUAUCCUCACUGAAGGACUCCCAAGAAAAUCCACCAACCCAAGUCAUUUUAAUCUGUGAUGUUGGAGCUCCUACCUGUGUAUAUCAUUAGUAACUUUGUGUUAAAGACACUGUCAUGAAAAUUCAACCAUGGAAAUCCUUUUUCAUCCGAGAAAAUUUGGAAUACAUAGUGAGUUAUACAUUUUCUUUAGCCAAGAAACAAAUAACUCAAUAGAGAGGUGAGUUUUUUUAAUACAGUAGUAGAAGCAACCAUGACCGUUAAUCAUAAAAUAUUUCUCACCUUUGCAGUGUUGAACACUGAGGUUUUGCAGUCAGGAAGAAUGCUGAUGGACCAAGAUGGAAUAUUAUACUUCAUUCCAUUGAAAGUAACACUUGCAUAAGAAUGUGGGUUGAAAUUAGAAAGGAAUGCAGCACAUGAGCCUGACUUUGAUCUGUAUACAUGUGCCUGCAAGAAGUCGAAUGUAGAAAAGUUCCAAAAUGCAAAUCAUUGAAAAGAUUCCUGCAAAUUUUACAGCAAGAUAUAAGAAUUGAACCUCCUGAUAAUUUCCGAGUUUUGUCACUGUGGGAUCCCCAGACACAAGAGCUGGUUCACACAUUUUGAUUGCUUUAUGCAGGUCUCUCAGAUGUCCCCAUUUCGGCUGCCUCAACAGACCUGAGAAAGAUUAUGAUACGUUUAACACCAAAUAGAGGGAAUGGUAAUACUUGGCAUCAAAUAUAUUUGUAUUGCAUCAUCAGAUGCUUGACCAAUGAGAUUGCACAAUGUCUUCCUUGUAGAAGAGGAACAAGAUUUUGGCACCAAAAAGAAGAAAUAGGAAAAGGAGAAGCAACCUGAGUGGGAAUUGUAUUACUACUAAUCUUCUCUUAAUCUUGAAAAGAACCCAAGUAUUUGACCUAAAUAAUUCUCUAGGUGAGCAAUCACAACUUUAUACCCACGCAAGUAAAAAGAUCAUGCAUUUCUUUCUAAAAGCUGGAUGAGAUGAUCCAAAAUCACAUCUUUCUGGAAUUAUCACAAGCAUGCUAUGUGUGCAGAUGAUGAAGUCAACCAUGCCUUUUUCCUCACAUCAAAAGCUCCAAAAGGGGCAGAUCAAUGAGAAGUCAUGAGUUAAUUUAAAACCAAAUCAUUACAAAAUGAAAAUUGUUACAUAUGACACAAUCAUUGAAGAAAAACUGCAUACCGUAUUCAUCAAUUGGGGCAUCAUAGUCAUAGCUUGUCGAAAUAAAAGGACCACCAGCCGUCCUACCGAAGUUUGUUCCUCCAUGGUACUGCAGUUGACGGAAACGUGAAAAUUCUUUUACUUCAACAUGAUGUACAGCGUUCAGUAAUUACUGAAACAACUCAAGUAGAACAUACAAAUUCUUACCAUAUAGUAGUUAACGAAGGAUCCACCCUUCUGUAUAAACCUUGCAACGGCAAAAGCCAAGUCCUCAACAGGUCUGUGAGGAACUGGACCCCCGAAAGCAGUGAACC
This 13341-nucleotide long non-coding RNA is filed under the name Musa acuminata (dwarf banana). Its description in RNAcentral is "long non-coding RNA (MACU_LNC003834)". Lineage: Eukaryota; Viridiplantae; Streptophyta; Magnoliopsida; Zingiberales; Musaceae. The record is from RNAcentral.